GUGAGGAAUAUUGGUCAAUGGGCGCAAGCCUGAACCAGCCAUGCCGCGUGCAGGAAGACGGUCCUAUGGAUUGUAAACUGCUUUUAUUUGGGAAUAAACUCCGGUACGUGUACCGGCCUGAAGGUACCAAAUGAAUAAGCACCGGCUAACUCCGUGCCAGCAGCCGCGGUAAUACGGAGGGUGCAAGCGUUAUCCGGAAUCAUUGGGUUUAAAGGGUCCGCAGGCGGUCUUAUAAGUCAGUGGUGAAAGCCUACAGCUCAACUGUAGAACUGCCAUUGAUACUGUAGGACUUGAAUUCGAUCGAAGUGGGCGGAAUGUGACAUGUAGCGGUGAAAUGCUUAGAUAUGUCACAGAACACCAAUAGCGAAGGCAGCUCACUAGGUCUGGAUUGACGCUCAGGGACGAAAGCGUGGGGAGCAAACAGGAUUAGAAACCCCUGUAGUCC
Molecule: ribosomal RNA, 445 nt
Filed under: uncultured bacterium
Lineage: Bacteria
Description: bacterial SSU rRNA
Rfam family: Bacterial small subunit ribosomal RNA
Source: RNAcentral